AGAGUUUGAUCCUGGCUCAGGACGAACGCUUGCGGCGUGCCUAAGAAAUGCAAGUCGAACGGAUAGAGCAAUCUAUUAGUGGCGAACGGUCGCGUAACACGUAAGCAAUCUGCCCCGAAGCGGGGGACAACGAUCCGAAAGGAUCGCUAAUACCGCAUGUGGUCGCUUGGCGGCAUCGCCGAGCGUCUAAAGAUAGAUCACUUCGGGAUGAGCUUGCGGCCUAUCAGGUUGUUGGCGGGGUAACGGCCCACCAAGCCUUUGACGGGUAGCUGGUCUGAGAGGAUGUCCAGCCGGAUUGGGACUGAGAUACGGCCCAGACUCCUACGGGGGGCAGCAAUUAGGAAUCUUGCACAAUGGGGGAAACCCUGAUGCAGCGACGCCGCGUGAAGGAUGAAGGAUUCCGGUCUGUAAACUUCUUUUAUCGGGGACGAAGAAUGUGACGGUACCCGAAGAAUAAGCCCCGGCUAACUACGUGCCAGCCGCCGCGGUAAUAC
This 494-nucleotide ribosomal RNA is filed under the name uncultured bacterium. Its description in RNAcentral is "bacterial SSU rRNA". It matches the Rfam family "Bacterial small subunit ribosomal RNA", at positions 8 to 526 of the family's 1533-position model. The record is from RNAcentral.